Molecule: ribosomal RNA, 253 nt
Filed under: uncultured bacterium
Lineage: Bacteria
Description: partial 16S ribosomal RNA
Rfam family: Bacterial small subunit ribosomal RNA
Source: RNAcentral
UACGUAGGGUGCGAGCGUUAAUCGGAAUUACUGGGCGUAAAGCGUGCGCAGGCGGUGAUGCAAGUCAGAUGUGAAAUCCCCGGGCUCAACCUGGGAACUGCAUUUGUGACUGCAUCGCUGGAGUGCGGCAGAGGGGGAUGGAAUUCCGCGUGUAGCAGUGAAAUGCGUAGAUAUGCGGAGGAACACCGAUGGCGAAGGCAAUCCCCUGGGCCUGCACUGACGCUCAUGCACGAAAGCGUGGGGAGCAAACAGG